This 21-nucleotide non-coding RNA is filed under the name Arabidopsis thaliana (thale cress). Lineage: Eukaryota; Viridiplantae; Streptophyta; Magnoliopsida; Brassicales; Brassicaceae. The record is from RNAcentral.
CCAAGGUGUGAACUCGUUGAA